This 1065-nucleotide long non-coding RNA is filed under the name Cervus hanglu yarkandensis (Yarkand deer). Its description in RNAcentral is "lncRNA (ENSCHYG00000022678.1)". The record is from RNAcentral. Lineage: Eukaryota; Metazoa; Chordata; Mammalia; Artiodactyla; Cervidae.
AUGAAGCCAGCUCCCCAGGGUCAGCCCAGCCCUGAGGAGGGCGGGCAGAGGGUGGGGGCGGUGCCCGGGCCUGGCCCAGGUGGUGGGAUGGGCGGGGCACCUGCCCAGGCUCUGCCCGCCUGUGCCCGACUCGCUUGCCCAUCACUUCGUCCUCGCCAUCCCGUGGCCGUCCUCAUCUCUGUCCUCGCGGUCACCGUCCAAGGUAGGUCUGGGGAGCUCGCCCCUGUGCUGAGCAGAGACUCUGGGGCCCGCCCAGGUCCCACUGGGCUGACCUGGACCCCCCCACCCCGCAACCCCCAAGGCGCCCUUGCCUGUCCGUCUUUGGGCUUCCUCCUGUGCCAAGGGGCCGGCCAAACCGGUGGAGAGGCCCCCUCCAUCCGCCGGCUGGCUGCGAGGGGAACCGCGUCCGUGUGCCGUGCGCGCCGCCCGUCCGCAGAGAUUGCCGAGCGAGCGAGCGCUGUGCGCCGAGGCCGGGGGCGCGCGGCGGCGCGGCUGCGGCUCCUCGCAGGUAGGGCUGGCGGCGGCGGGCUCAGGGGCUGCGGACGGGCCUGCCGGCCCCCCGCCCCCAGCCUCGGGUGGGGGGGGGGGGGGGUGCCGCGCCCACGUGACUCAGAACCUGCGCCGCCAGGUGGGGUGCUGGAACUCGGGUUCUCUGGGAGGAAGCCCCUCUCGCCCCCACUGGCUAUCCCCCAGGUCUCACCCGCUCCUGGUAGAUCCUCCCAGGAGCCCUUUCAGCAGCCAGAGGCAGGCAGUGUCACACUCCUGGCCGCCCCUGCCCACACUUCCCAGGUCAAGGAAGCCAGUCCCCUGGCUCCCAGUUUCAGUGAUGGGGGCGGGGGUUGGGGGACAGCAAGGGGCUCCCUGGACCCCCAGUGGGCUGGAGCAGGGGGAUGCAAGGAGCGGCCUUCCCUCCCUUCACUUGCUGGUGGGGUCUCGAGUCUGAACCUGUGGCUUUGCCAGGUGGCCCAUACACUGGCAGACACUGGCCAGACACUCAGGCAAGUUGGAGGAGGCACAAGGCAGCAAGCAGGAGGCUGCAGGGGCCCCAAGUCCUGGAUCAGCUAG